UUAAAAACAAGUCAGAAAAUAAGAGAUGGCGUCGUCCAGCCGUCGACAAAGGCGUCAACUGCUCCAGGGAACUCAAAAACGCUCCGUAAGCGUGGCGGCUCUGCUAAAAACUUGAAAGCUUCGAACUCUUUUUCUCUCUCUCUCAAGCAACCGAUCCUAACCUUUCCUCUCUGUCUCGCUCGGCUCAGAUCCGGCUCAAUUCAGCUCCGAUCCGGCUUCGUCUUCCCAACUCUCUCCUUCCUGCAACUCUUCGUUCUCCCUCUGCAACGUUGCUCGUUCACUCCCUCUUCUCUCCUCCUCCAUCCCUCCACUUUCUCUCUCUCACUCUCUGUGUGUUCUUCCUCGUCUCCGUCUUCUCCGGUAUCAAAAUUCUCCUCUUUCUCGCAAUAAUACAGGUUUUGCUCACUCCCUCCCCACGUUCCUUCCAUCUUUCUCUUCCGUUUAGGGGUUUUCUUCGCUACAUUCGUGGCGUCGAAUUGGUAUUCGAUUGUAGUGCUUCUAUCAAGCUUCAGCGAUGCGGUCACGGGCCGGUUAGAUAGUCGAAGAAUCCCUCACGAACGUUUCGUUAUUGUAGUUCCAAAGACUGGUCUUGAAGGUGUCGUACUGGCUUUUUCUGUAAGUACUGCUGGCUAAAAUGAACUUUGAGACAGGAACAGUAGGCGGAAAAACUGGGAACCUGAUCGAAUGGAAUGUCAAUAAUACAUUCAAAACCUUGAAAGCCUCUAAGGGAGCAUAGCCGGAGAGGUGGGCUGCCUCUUGGAGGGCGCUGGCCUUGUAGAGGGCAUCAGUGGAGCGGUUGCCGGCCGAGCAAAGCUGGCAGCCAAAUGGCUGCUUACCUUGUAGGUGGGAGCAAAUUGGCAGAAGCCGAGCAAGCUAGGCAGAUCAGGAGGUUGGCCAAGCAGGGUUGGUGGCGAGCGGUUGCAGACCAUGCUAGCUGGCAGGAGACCAAGCGGCUGCGGGACAAGGUAGGCAGAGCAUGAUGGUGACUAGUGCGAGAGCAAGCAAAUGGGAUUGGAGGUGAUGAGGAUGCUGGCCGAGUGACAAUCCAAACGAGCUUUGAGAUCUAGCAGGAAUGGUGAACUACGAGGCUGGCGGGCAAGAGGAGGCUGCUGGCCAAGCGGGAAUCCAAAAGACCAUAAGAUCCAACAAAGAUGGUGACCAUAAUUGUCAAGGCGUCGCCUAGGUGACGACCAGGCGUCCAGGCAGUUUGCCUGGGGCCUAGGCGACAGCCGCCUUGUUGCACUGCAUGUCGCCUUGUAUUUCGGCACUUAUUUAUGCC
Macadamia integrifolia is the source of this 1279-nucleotide long non-coding RNA. RefSeq lists it as uncharacterized. The transcript has 4 exons. NCBI's taxonomy places the organism in Eukaryota, Viridiplantae, Streptophyta, Magnoliopsida, Proteales, Proteaceae. The record is from RefSeq and is a predicted model, not a curated record.